RNAcentral lists this long non-coding RNA (1476 nucleotides) under Panax ginseng (ginseng). RNAcentral's name for it is "long non-coding RNA (PGIN_LNC004664)". Lineage: Eukaryota; Viridiplantae; Streptophyta; Magnoliopsida; Apiales; Araliaceae. The record is from RNAcentral.
UACGGCUCGUUACCGCAGUGCUUGUUCGUUCACCCCUUCGGCUUCUUCCAUUCAAAAAGGUAGUGUCUUUUUCCUAUUCUUAUUGGUAAAUAGCAUCUUGAAGUGAAGCGAAGGCAUUCUUGAAGGAAAGAGAUGGCGAGUCAGUCAAUUUCAUUAGAUAAGAGAUGCAGGACCUGUCUUAACCGCAAGUGCAUUCGCUAUUCGAUUCCAUUCUUGAUCCCACCUAAUUUUUAUUCCAAAGUUUGUAUCUCUUCUUUACUUUUAUUUUUAGUGACACGGGAGGCGACAAAGGGUAUACUUUAUUCUUUAUGUCGUCGUCUCAUCAAUGAGCGUAGAUUGAUAGAGAUGGCUUUUGUGCCGGUCAAUCUGUAUCCCAUUCUUCAGGUAUAGUUUUCUUUGAUCACAGAUCAACAGGUGAUCCGUCCCUUCUCCCCUUUUUGUCAUAAGGCGUGGUCUGACUCUGAUAAAAACCAUUCCUAUGUUUAGGUCCCUACUAAGCAGAAUUCAUAAACUAUGCAAUGGCUAUUUGAAUACUUUUCAUUUUAUAGCAAUAAAAGAAAAAACCAUUCUCAACGCUUUUAUGAGGUAGUGAUGAGUUAAACUACUCGUGUUGGCAUGGAAGUCCGCCCGGUAAACUGAUUCCAUUCUGCUACUAGGGUUCCAAACCUUCCCCUUAGCUCUAUAAAGACCUUUCCUUAUCAAGAGAUGCUAAAGCUAUUUAUAGUUGGUAUUUUAAAGUAGGAAGGAUGGCUUUGGGCAAAGAGCAACUCGAAAGUACUUGACUUCAGUCCCAGUACUGAAAGACGUGACUUCAGGAGUGGAUUUCGGAAGGAAAUACUUCGUUUACUUCCUGCAAAUUUCUUAUGUAAGAACUAGUAGAAAGAAAGGAAUUUUGAACAAAAGAAGGCAGCAUUGAUAGACCGUUGAAUGAGAAUGCUUGAAUGGGAAUCGUCUUAGCAACUGGCUAUAGACAUGAGUCAAAGCCGCCGGGAGAGGAGAGACAAUCUUUCAUGAGAGAGGGACGAGCAAGUGACAGAUUGGGAAAAAAAAAGGUAGGCCGGUCAUUUAGGGGCCUUGUUAGCGACCCAUCAUUCUUCCCUAAGCUGUCAGAGUCCGAUCGAAGCGAGCAAGAGAUAGAGGAAUCAUCGCUCAUAGAUGUGAAUUGAGAAAGCAAGCCCGAAUUCCUUUUUAAUUAGGCUCUAUAGUCUGGUCCCUGUCCCUGGUAAGGUCUGAUUGUUAUCCGCAAGUCUUGCGCGGGAAGGUGAACUUUGCAAAAGUGCUUAUUUGGUUGGGAAAGAGAGGACUUCUGACUCCAAGCCUACCCGAAAACAAGUUUCAGCUAUUGAUGUAGCUUCUUGUCGAUACUACUAGUCUUGUCGCUACCUACUAGAGAAAUCCCUUCUAUACCACUCAACAGAAGCAAAAAUCCCAUCAAGAUAGAUUGAAUCGACGACCUAUACUUCAACUAAANNNNNN